This 69-nucleotide transfer RNA is filed under the name Rattus norvegicus (Norway rat). It matches the Rfam family "tRNA". From Rfam's summary of the family: Transfer RNA (tRNA) molecules are approximately 80 nucleotides in length. Their secondary structure includes four short double-helical elements and three loops (D, anti-codon, and T loops). Further hydrogen bonds mediate the characteristic L-shaped molecular structure. tRNAs have two regions of fundamental functional importance: the anti-codon, which is responsible for specific mRNA codon recognition, and the 3' end, to which the tRNAs corresponding amino acid is attached (by aminoacyl-tRNA synthetases). tRNAs cope with the degeneracy of the genetic code in two manners: having more than one tRNA (with a specific anti-codon) for a particular amino acid; and 'wobble' base-pairing, i.e. permitting non-standard base-pairing at the 3rd anti-codon position. Lineage: Eukaryota; Metazoa; Chordata; Mammalia; Rodentia; Muridae. The record is from Rfam by way of RNAcentral.
GGGGAUUUAGCUCAGUGGUAGAGUGCUUGCCUAGCAAGCGCAAGGCCCUGGGUUCGAUUCCCAGCUCCG